UUACGACCACAUCACGAUGAAACAUUGGAUCCCGUACUAUCAUCGAAGUUAAGCAACGUCGAGCCUGGUCAAUACCUCGAUAGGUGACCGCUUGGGAGUACCAGGUGUUGUAAG
Molecule: non-coding RNA, 114 nt
Organism: Acanthosepion pharaonis
Lineage: Eukaryota; Metazoa; Mollusca; Cephalopoda; Sepiida; Sepiidae
Source: the annotation of a GenBank genome assembly